GCGCGGUUAGCUCAGCGGUAGAGCAACUCGUUUACACCGAGUGGGUCGGCGGUUCAAUCCCGUCACUGCGCACCA
This 75-nucleotide transfer RNA is filed under the name Micavibrio aeruginosavorus. RNAcentral's name for it is "tRNA-Val". It matches the Rfam family "tRNA". From Rfam's summary of the family: Transfer RNA (tRNA) molecules are approximately 80 nucleotides in length. Their secondary structure includes four short double-helical elements and three loops (D, anti-codon, and T loops). Lineage: Bacteria; Pseudomonadati; Bdellovibrionota; Bdellovibrionia; Bdellovibrionales; Pseudobdellovibrionaceae. The record is from RNAcentral.